Molecule: ribosomal RNA, 776 nt
Filed under: uncultured Neocallimastigales
Lineage: Eukaryota; Fungi; Neocallimastigomycota; Neocallimastigomycetes; Neocallimastigales
Description: partial large subunit ribosomal RNA
Rfam family: Eukaryotic large subunit ribosomal RNA
Source: RNAcentral
GAGACUCUGUGCGCGUGCAUAUCAAUAAGCGGAGGAAAAGAAACUAACAAGGAUUCCCCUAGUAACGGCGAGUGAAGCGGGAAGAGCUCAAAUUUGAAAUCUUAAAGGGUUUCCCUUUACGAAUUGUAGUUUAAAGAAGUGUUUUCUGUUGGAGUUUCGGUAAAAGUUCUUUGGAAUAGGACAUCAUAGAGGGUGAGAAUCCCGUAGUUUGACCGUUACUUUCCAGCUGUGUGAUACACUUUCAAAGAGUCGGAUUGUUUGGGAAUGCAGUCCAAAAUGGGUGGUAAAUUUCAUCUAAAGCUAAAUAUUGGCGAGAGACCGAUAGCGAACAAGUACCGUGAGGGAAAGAUGAAAAGAACUUUGAAAAGAGAGUUAAACAGUACGUGAAAUUGUCAAAAGGGAAGCGUUUGACACCAGUGUUGGUUAGUUGAAAAUCAAUUCAGUAGUUUUUGAUUCUAAGUAGUAUUGGCUUCAUCAGCUUGCUGCUUUCUUCUCAGAAAUUAUUGAAUGCACUUUUCAGUUAACAAGUCAACAUCAAUUUCUUUUGUUGUAAAAGGGUAAGAGGAAGGUGGCUUGCGCUUCGGCUCAAGUGUUUAUAGCCUUUUACCCCUGCAAUCGGAGAGAUUGAGGUCUGCAGCGUAGAUCCUUCGGGGUUAGAUACAUUUGUGCUAAGCUAUAGCCUUGUAUAGACAACUUGUUGACUAUGCUCAGUCAUGUAGCUUACUCGCUUAUGCUAUUUUACCUACGCUUAGGAUGUUGACAGCAGUAUAGACUGU